GAGGUAACACAGGAGGAGAGAUAUCAUGAUUGAAAGAAGGAAGGGAAGAUGGACCAGCAUCACUAAAAUCAAGAACAGGAGAAUCAGAAGUAAAAUUAGGAACAGGAGAAUCAGGGGAAGCAUGUAUAGGAAAAUCUGUGUCAGGGAAAUGAUCAGCAGGAGGAAUAGAAGGAAAAAAUAAAGGAGAAAGGUGAGCAGAAGUAGGUUUAUUCUUAAAAGGGAAACAAGCUUCAUGGAAGACAACAUCCCUGGAGACAAAACACUUCUUGGAAACCAAAUUAUACAGUUUAUAACCCUUNNNN
This 302-nucleotide long non-coding RNA is filed under the name Nicotiana benthamiana. RNAcentral's name for it is "long non-coding RNA (NBEN_LNC012178)". Lineage: Eukaryota; Viridiplantae; Streptophyta; Magnoliopsida; Solanales; Solanaceae. The record is from RNAcentral.